Molecule: ribosomal RNA, 1157 nt
Filed under: Bacillus sp. (in: firmicutes)
Lineage: Bacteria; Bacillati; Bacillota; Bacilli; Caryophanales; Bacillaceae
Description: bacterial SSU rRNA
Rfam family: Bacterial small subunit ribosomal RNA
Source: RNAcentral
CAUGGUUCAAGGAUGAAAGACGGUUUCGGCUGUCACUUACAGAUGGACCCGCGGCGCAUUAGCUAGUUGCUGAGGUAACGGCUCACCAAGGCGACGAUGCGUAGCCGACCUGAGAGGGUGAUCGGCCACACUGGGACUGAGACACGGCCCAGACUCCUACGGGAGGCAGCAGUAGGGAAUCUUCCGCAAUGGACGAAAGUCUGACGGAGCAACGCCGCGUGAGUGAUGAAGGUUUUCGGAUCGUAAAGCUCUGUUGUUAGGGAAGAACAAGUGCAAGAGUAACUGCUUGCACCUUGACGGUACCUAACCAGAAAGCCACGGCUAACUACGUGCCAGCAGCCGCGGUAAUACGUAGGUGGCAAGCGUUGUCCGGAAUUAUUGGGCGUAAAGGGCUCGCAGGCGGUUUCUUAAGUCUGAUGUGAAAGCCCCCGGCUCAACCGGGGAGGGUCAUUGGAAACUGGGAAACUUGAGUGCAGAAGAGGAGAGUGGAAUUCCACGUGUAGCGGUGAAAUGCGUAGAGAUGUGGAGGAACACCAGUGGCGAAGGCGACUCUCUGGUCUGUAACUGACGCUGAGGAGCGAAAGCGUGGGGAGCGAACAGGAUUAGAUACCCUGGUAGUCCACGCCGUAAACGAUGAGUGCUAAGUGUUAGGGGGUUUCCGCCCCUUAGUGCUGCAGCUAACGCAUUAAGCACUCCGCCUGGGGAGUACGGUCGCAAGACUGAAACUCAAAGGAAUUGACGGGGGCCCGCACAAGCGGUGGAGCAUGUGGUUUAAUUCGAAGCAACGCGAAGAACCUUACCAGGUCUUGACAUCCUCUGACAACCCUAGAGAUAGGGCUUUCCCUUCGGGGACAGAGUGACAGGUGGUGCAUGGUUGUCGUCAGCUCGUGUCGUGAGAUGUUGGGUUAAGUCCCGCAACGAGCGCAACCCUUGAUCUUAGUUGCCAGCAUUCAGUUGGGCACUCUAAGGUGACUGCCGGUGACAAACCGGAGGAAGGUGGGGAUGACGUCAAAUCAUCAUGCCCCUUAUGACCUGGGCUACACACGUGCUACAAUGGACAGAACAAAGGGCUGCGAGACCGCAAGGUUUAGCCAAUCCCACAAAUCUGUUCUCAGUUCGGAUCGCAGUCUGCAACUCGACUGCGUGAAGCUGGAAUC